RNAcentral lists this ribosomal RNA (253 nucleotides) under uncultured bacterium. RNAcentral describes it as "partial 16S ribosomal RNA". It matches the Rfam family "Bacterial small subunit ribosomal RNA", at positions 524 to 776 of the family's 1533-position model. The record is from RNAcentral.
UACGGAGGGUGCAAGCGUUGUUCGGAUUUACUGGGCGUAAAGCGCGUGUAGGCGGAUCGUUAAGUCCGAUGUGAAAUCCCUGGGCUCAACCCAGGAAUUGCAUUGGAAACUGGCGGUCUUGAGUACGGGAGAGGGAAGCGGAAUUCCUAGUGUAGAGGUGAAAUUCGUAGAUACUAGGAGGAACACCGGUGGCGAAGGCGGCUUCCUGGACCGAUACUGACGCUGAGACGCGAAAGCGUGGGUAGCAAACAGG